UGGCAUGGCCGUCGUCAGUUCGUACUGUGAAGCAUCCUGUUAAGUCAGGCAACGAGCGAGACCCACGCCAACAGUUGCCAGCUCGGUCCUCCCGGGGAUGGUGGGGGACACUGUUGGGACCGCCUCUGCUAAAGAGGAGGAAGGAAUGGGCAACGGUAGGUCAGCAUGCCCCGAAUUAUCUGGGCUACACGCGGGCUACAAUGGGUGGGACAAUGGGUAUCGACACCGAAAGGUGAAGGCAAUCUCCUAAACCCAUCCGUAGUUCGGAUUGUGGGCUGCAACUCGCCCACAUGAAGCUGGAAUCUGUAGUAAUCGUGUCUCAAAAUGGCACGGUGAAUAUGUCCCUGCUCCUU
This 353-nucleotide ribosomal RNA is filed under the name uncultured Methanomicrobiales archaeon. RNAcentral describes it as "bacterial SSU rRNA". It matches the Rfam family "Archaeal small subunit ribosomal RNA", at positions 988 to 1338 of the family's 1478-position model. The record is from RNAcentral. Lineage: Archaea; Methanobacteriati; Methanobacteriota; Methanomicrobia; Methanomicrobiales.